This 376-nucleotide ribosomal RNA is filed under the name uncultured organism. Its description in RNAcentral is "partial 16S ribosomal RNA". It matches the Rfam family "Bacterial small subunit ribosomal RNA", at positions 527 to 897 of the family's 1533-position model. The record is from RNAcentral.
GUAGGUGGCAAGCGUUGUCCGGGAAUUAUUGGGGCGUAAAGCGCGCGCAGGCGGUUCUUUAAGUCUGAUGUGAAAGCCCACGGGCUCAACCGUGGAGGGUCAUUGGAAACUGGAGAACUUGAGUACAGAAGAGGAAAGCGGAAUUCCACGUGUAGCGGUGAAAUGCGUAGAGAUGUGGAGGAACACCAGUGGCGAAGGCGGCUUUCUGGUCUGUAACUGACGCUGAGGCGCGAAAGCGUGGGGAGCAAACAGGAUUAGAUACCCUGGUAGUCCACGCCGUAAACGAUGAGUGCUAAGUGUUAGGGGGUUUCCGCCCCUUAGUGCUGCAGCUAACGCACUAAGCACUCCGCCUGGGGAGUACGGCCGCAAAGGCUGA